Molecule: ribosomal RNA, 253 nt
Filed under: uncultured bacterium
Lineage: Bacteria
Description: partial 16S ribosomal RNA
Rfam family: Bacterial small subunit ribosomal RNA
Source: RNAcentral
UACGUAGGGUGCGAGCGUUAAUCGGAAUUAUUGGGCGUAAAGGGCGCGUAGGCGGCCUGAUAAGUCAAAGGUGAAAUCCCUCGGCUCAACUGAGGAAUUGCCUUUGAAACUGUCAGGCUUGAGGCCGGGAGGGGGUGGCGGAAUUCCCAGUGUAGCGGUGAAAUGCGUAGAUAUUGGGAGGAACACCAGUGGCGAAGGCGGCCACCUGGACCAACACUGACACUGAGGCACGAAAGCGUGGGGAGCAAACAGG